AACCUGCCCACUGAGGAUUUAAAUGGCCGCGGUAUUUUGACCGUGCAAAGGUAGCAUAAUAAUUAGUUUUUUAAUUGAAAGCUGGAAUGAAAGGUUGGAUGAGAAAAUAACUGUCUCUAUUUAGAUUAAUUAGAAUUUUAUCUUUAAGUAAAAAAGCUUAAAUAAGAAUAGAAGACGAGAAGACCCUAUAGAGUUUUAAUUUAGUUGGGGUGAUUGAAAAAUUUAAUAAACUUUUUUUAUGUUGAACCAUUGAUUUAUGAUUGACUGAUCCUUAAAUUAAGAUUAAAAGAAAAAAUUACCUUAGGGAUAACAGCGUAAUUUUUUUAGAGAGUUCAAAUCGAAAAAAAAGAUUGCGACCUCGAUGUUGGAUUAAAAUAAAAUUUUGGUGUAGAAGCUAG
RNAcentral lists this ribosomal RNA (398 nucleotides) under Rhyncogonus cordiformis. RNAcentral describes it as "partial 16S ribosomal RNA". It matches the Rfam family "Archaeal large subunit ribosomal RNA", at positions 1948 to 2634 of the family's 2987-position model. Lineage: Eukaryota; Metazoa; Arthropoda; Insecta; Coleoptera; Curculionidae. The record is from RNAcentral.